RNAcentral lists this ribosomal RNA (1792 nucleotides) under human gut metagenome. RNAcentral describes it as "bacterial LSU rRNA". It matches the Rfam family "Bacterial large subunit ribosomal RNA", at positions 1120 to 2925 of the family's 2925-position model. The record is from RNAcentral.
CAUUUAAAGAGUGCGUAAUAGCUCACUAGUCGAGUGAUUCUGCACCGAAAAUGUACCGGGGCUAAACACACCACCGAAACUACGGGUGCCACGUAAGUGGCGCGAUAGGAGAGCGUUCUAAGGGCGAUGAAGUCAGACCGUGAGGACUGGUGGAGCGCUUAGAAGUGAGAAUGCCGGUAUGAGUAGCGAAAGACAGGUGAGAAUCCUGUCCACCGUAUGACUAAGGUUUCCUGGGGAAGGCUCGUCCUCCCAGGGUUAGUCGGGACCUAAGGCGAGGCCGAAAGGCGUAGUCGAUGGAUAACAGGUUGAGAUUCCUGUACCAGGUGAACAUGUUUGAACGAUGGAGGGACGCAGAAGGCUAACGGAUCCCAGCUGCUGGAUAUGCUGGGUUAAAUAAUAAGUCUUAGAUCGAGUUAAAUGCUUUAUCUUUUAAGGACAAGUUAUGAUGAGGACCGAAAUAAAGUAGGGAAGUCCGUGAUGUCACGCUGCCGAGAAAAGCUUCUAGUUAGUGUUUACCUGCCCGUACCGCAAACCGACACAGGUAGUCGAGGAGAGCAUCCUAAGGUGAGCGAGUGAACUCUCGUUAAGGAACUCGGCAAAAUGACCCCGUAACUUCGGGAGAAGGGGUGCUCAGCGAAAGCUGAGCCGCAGUGAAUAGGCCCAGGCGACUGUUUAUCAAAAACACAGGUUUCUGCAAAAUCGUAAGAUGACGUAUAGGGGCUGACGCCUGCCCGGUGCUGGAAGGUUAAAAGGAGUGCUUAGCUUCGGCGAAGGUACGAAUUGAAGCCCCAGUAAACGGCGGCCGUAACUAUAACGGUCCUAAGGUAGCGAAAUUCCUUGUCGGGUAAGUUCCGACCCGCACGAAAGGCGUAACGAUCUGGGCACUGUCUCAACGAGGGACUCGGUGAAAUUUAAAUACCCGUGAAGAUGCGGGUUACCCGCGACAGGACGGAAAGACCCCAUGGAGCUUUACUGUAGCUUGAUAUUGAAUGUUUGUGCUGCUUGUACAGAAUAGGUAGGAGACGAAGAAGUUUGGACGCCAGUCUAGACGGAGUCGAAAUGUGGGAUACUACCCUCGUUGUAUGAACAUUCUAACACUGGUCGCUUAUCGCGAUCGUGGACAGUGUCUGGCGGGCAGUUUGACUGGGGCGGUCGCCUCCUAAAAGGUAACGGAGGCGCUCAAAGGUUUGCUCAGAAUGGUUGGAAAUCAUUCGUAGCGUGUAAAGGCAUAAGCAAGCUUGACUGCGAGAGCUACAACUCGAGCAGGUACGAAAGUAGGACUUAGUGAUCCGGUGGUUCCGCAUGGAAGGGCCAUCGCUCAACGGAUAAAAGCUACCCUGGGGAUAACAGGCUCAUCUCCCCCAAGAGUCCACAUCGACGGGGAGGUUUGGCACCUCGAUGUCGGCUCAUCGCAUCCUGGGGCUGUAGUCGGUCCCAAGGGUUGGGCUGUUCGCCCAUUAAAGCGGUACGCGAGCUGGGUUCAGAACGUCGUGAGACAGUUCGGUCCCUAUCCGUCGCGGGCGCAGGAAAUUUGAGAGGAGUUGCCCUUAGUACGAGAGGACCGGGGUGAACAAACCGCUGGUGUACCAGUUGUUCCGCCAGGAGCAUCGCUGGGUAGCUAUGUUUGGAUGAGAUAAACGCUGAAAGCAUCUAAGUGUGAAACUCGCCUCGAGAUGAGAUUUCCCAUUCUUUAUGAAGUAAGACCCCUUAGAGAUGAUGAGGUAGAUAGGCUAGAAGUGGAAGUACAGUGAUGUAUGUAGCGGACUAGUACUAAUAGGUCGAGGACUUAACC